AUGGACCAUUCCAUCCCUUUUUCCCGUGCAUAUGCAUCGGACUCGGAUGACGAUGGUCCCGAUGAACAAGUUGAUGCGGAGGGGUUCACGGUGAAGGAGGCCGAAGCUUUCGAGAAGGUAUUUGGUCGGGAUCAUCGGACUACAUUGUUCAAGGAUGUUAGUCUCGCGGAUGAAGCCGUGGUAAAUGGUGGCCAAUGUGUACCUCUUGGGGUUAGGCCAAGCUCUCACCGUGAUUUGGUAGACGACAAGAACCGGAUUGCUAAAGGUUCUAGUUCGACAGCUUGUUGGAUUUGA
This 294-nucleotide ribosomal RNA is filed under the name Triticum aestivum (bread wheat). Its description in RNAcentral is "partial small subunit ribosomal RNA". The record is from RNAcentral. Lineage: Eukaryota; Viridiplantae; Streptophyta; Magnoliopsida; Poales; Poaceae.